Molecule: non-coding RNA, 93 nt
Organism: Mycena rebaudengoi
Lineage: Eukaryota; Fungi; Basidiomycota; Agaricomycetes; Agaricales; Mycenaceae
Source: the annotation of a GenBank genome assembly
GCCCUGGUUGAUUAAUGGAAAUCACCCACACCAGCUUAGUAGAGCAUGAACGCAUUGAUGUAGGAGACGGAGGUUCGAAUCCUCCCCAGGGCA